GGGUAGUUGGCUGAAUCUGGCCACCCGCAGCGGACUCAAGGCCCGCAGGCGCUUGCACCCACGAGGGUUCAAAUCCCUCACUACCGU
This 87-nucleotide transfer RNA is filed under the name Gemmatimonadales bacterium. RNAcentral's name for it is "tRNA-Leu". It matches the Rfam family "tRNA". Rfam says of the family: Transfer RNA (tRNA) molecules are approximately 80 nucleotides in length. Their secondary structure includes four short double-helical elements and three loops (D, anti-codon, and T loops). Further hydrogen bonds mediate the characteristic L-shaped molecular structure. tRNAs have two regions of fundamental functional importance: the anti-codon, which is responsible for specific mRNA codon recognition, and the 3' end, to which the tRNAs corresponding amino acid is attached (by aminoacyl-tRNA synthetases). tRNAs cope with the degeneracy of the genetic code in two manners: having more than one tRNA (with a specific anti-codon) for a particular amino acid; and 'wobble' base-pairing, i.e. permitting non-standard base-pairing at the 3rd anti-codon position. Lineage: Bacteria; Pseudomonadati; Gemmatimonadota; Gemmatimonadia; Gemmatimonadales. The record is from RNAcentral.